GCGGGCGUAACUCAAUGGCAGAGCGCCAGCCUUCCAAGCUGGAUACGUGGGUUCGAUUCCCAUCGCCCGCUCCA
This 74-nucleotide transfer RNA is filed under the name Clostridia bacterium. Its description in RNAcentral is "tRNA-Gly". It matches the Rfam family "tRNA". Rfam says of the family: Transfer RNA (tRNA) molecules are approximately 80 nucleotides in length. Lineage: Bacteria; Bacillati; Bacillota; Clostridia. The record is from RNAcentral.